AACCUCCGCAAUGUGAGAAAUCGCGACGGGGGGAUCCCAAGUGCCAUUCUUAACGGGAUGGCUUUUCAUUAGUGUAAAGAGCUUUUGGAAUAAGGGCUGGGCAAGACCGGUGCCAGCCGCCGCGGUAACACCGGCAGCUCUAGUGGUAGCAGUUUUUAUUGGGCCUAAAGCGUCCGUAGCCGGUUUAAUAAGUCUCUGGUGAAAUCCUGUAGCUUAACUGUGGGAAUUGCUGGAGAUACUAUUAGACUUGAGAUCGGGAGAGGUUAGAGGUACUCCCAGGGUAGAGGUGAAAUUCUGUAAUCCUGGGAGGACCGCCUGUUGCGAAGGCGUCUAACUGGAACGAUUCUGACGGUGAGGGACGAAAGUUAGGGGCGCGAACCGGAUUAGAUACCCGGGUAGUCCUAACUGUAAACGAUGCGGACUUGGUGUUGGGGUGGCUUUGAGCUGCUCCAGUGCCGAAGGGAAGCUGUUAAGUCCGCCGCCUGGGAAGUACGGUCGCAAGACUGAAACUUAAAGGAAUU
This 521-nucleotide ribosomal RNA is filed under the name uncultured bacterium. RNAcentral describes it as "bacterial SSU rRNA". It matches the Rfam family "Archaeal small subunit ribosomal RNA", at positions 345 to 866 of the family's 1478-position model. The record is from RNAcentral.